UACUCGAGUGGCGAACGGGUGAGUAACACGUGGGUGAUCUGCCCUGUACUUCGGGAUAAGCCUGGGAAACUUGGUCUAAUACCGGAUAGGAGCCAUUUUUAGUGUGAUGGUUGGAAAGUUUUUUCGGUGUAGGAUGAGCUCGCGGCCUAUCAGCUUGUUGGUGGGGUAAUGGCCUACCAAGGCGGCGACGGGUAGCCGGCCUGAGAGGGUGGACGGCCACAUUGGGACUGAGAUACGGCCCAG
Molecule: ribosomal RNA, 243 nt
Filed under: uncultured Actinomycetales bacterium
Lineage: Bacteria; Bacillati; Actinomycetota; Actinomycetes; Actinomycetales
Description: partial 16S ribosomal RNA
Rfam family: Bacterial small subunit ribosomal RNA
Source: RNAcentral